AAAAUUAAACCAUCGUUUGGGGCAACUCAGACAGCAACUCAAAUCAAGAGGUUAUAAGAACAAAAAUAUUUCAGAAGCUUUCGGUAAAGCAAAAGAAAAAGACCGAACAAACCUACUUGAAUACAAAGAAAAGACGGCCCAGACAAAUAAAAUCCCGUUUGUUGUUAGCUUUCAUCCUCACCUGACAAAUCUUUCAUCAAUUGUCCACAAACACUGGCGUCUUAUUGAAAAUGAUCCUUCCUUAAAAGAGAUUUUUCCAUCACCUCCCGUUAUGGCUUACCGCAGACCCAAAAACCUCAAAGAUAUUCUAGUAACAUCCAAAGUAUCUAAACAGGAGAUAUCAACAAUCGGAGGUUAUAAACCAUGCGGAAGGGGCAAUUGUAAGUGCUGCAAAGUCGCCAACAUCGAAACCCAAUUCGUCAGCACAGUCACAAAGAAAAAUACAACAAUUUUAUAACAUCAAAUUGCAAAACGCAAAAUUGCAUUUAUGUUCUAACGUGUGGAACUUGCAAAUUACAAUAUGUUGGUGAAACAGAAACACCAUUUAACAUCCGACUAAAUAACCAUCGGUCAUUUUAUACAAAAGAAAGGAACUGCCCAAUUACAAGACACCUUUUAAGAGCAGGACAUGAUUUUGAAAACGUCACAUUUCAAAUCAUUGAGAAAAAUCAAAAUUGGGAUACACAAGGAAGACCAAAAAGAGAGAGAUUUUGGAUGCACCAGUUACGAACUCUUGAACCUGAUGGACUCAAUGAGAGAGACGAAAAAAUAUUUAAAAGCAAAUCAAAACCAUAAUUAUCUUGAAAUCAUACAAAUUAAUUUAUAGAAAUUCAUACAAUUAAUCGAACAUCUAUAAAUGUGUUAAACUUUUAUUCCAACUUCAUGUAGUUGUAGCUACAAACAUAUUUUAUGCAACAUCAAUCAAUAUGUUACACUUUUCCUCAAAUCUUGUAUAGAUUAAGCUACAAAAAUAUUUUUUUGUCAUGCAUCCAAUUUCACCUUGAGAGAUGCACACGCCUGAUGAAGCUAAUUUGUUUAGCGAAAUAUUGCGUAUUUCUAUUUAAAAUCUAAUAGAACUUUUAAUGUAUUAAAU
Molecule: long non-coding RNA, 1093 nt
Filed under: Mytilus galloprovincialis (Mediterranean mussel)
Lineage: Eukaryota; Metazoa; Mollusca; Bivalvia; Mytilida; Mytilidae
Source: RNAcentral